RNAcentral lists this ribosomal RNA (157 nucleotides) under uncultured bacterium. RNAcentral describes it as "partial 16S ribosomal RNA". It matches the Rfam family "Bacterial small subunit ribosomal RNA", at positions 355 to 509 of the family's 1533-position model. The record is from RNAcentral.
UGAGGAAUAUUGGUCAAUGGGCGCGAGCCUGAACCAGCCAAGUCGCGUGAGGGAUGACGGCCCUACGGGUUGUAAACCUCUUUUGUCGGGGAGCAAAUUCCGCCACGUGUGGCGGAGUCGAGAGUACCCGAAGAAAAGCAUCGGCUAACUCCGUGCC